This 683-nucleotide ribosomal RNA is filed under the name uncultured fungus. RNAcentral describes it as "eukaryotic LSU rRNA". The stretch from base 232 to 385 matches the Rfam family "5.8S ribosomal RNA". The record is from RNAcentral. Lineage: Eukaryota; Fungi.
AGUAAAAGUCGUAACAAGGUUUCCGUAGGUGAACCUGCGGAAGGAUCAUUAUCGAGUUUGAAAGAGGUUGUCGCUGGUCCUCCGGGGCAUGUGCACGCCUUGCUCAUCCAUCUCACACCUGUGCACCUUUUGUAGUUCCGGGAAAGGGACCCUAGGCCCUCGCCCUGGUUCUGCGUCUUCACACACUCUAAACGUUCAGAAUGUCUAUACCGCGAUAAAACGCAAAAAUACAACUUUCAACAACGGACCUCUUGGCUCUCGCAUCGAUGAAGAACGCAGCGAAAUGCGAUAAGUAAUGUGAAUUGCAGAAUUCAGUGAAUCAUCGAAUCUUUGAACGCACCUUGCGCUCGCCGGUAUUCCGGCGAGCAUGCCUGUUUGAGUCUCAUGAAUCUCUCAAACUCCUGGUUCGCCAGGAGCUUUGGACUUGGAGGUCUGCCGGCGCUCGUCGGCUCCUCUCUAAAUGCAUUAGCUUGGAUCAUACGCGCUCGAUCUACGGUGUGAUAAACGUCUACCCGUGCGAUCGGCGCCUCGCAUGUACACCGUGGGCUUUAUUGCUCGCAGCGCUUCGGCCGUGUGUUAGCGAGCUGGUCUGGCUUCUAAUCGCCCUCGGGCAACGCUCUGACAUCUGAGCUCAAAUCAGGUAGGACUACCCGCUGAACUUAAGCAUAUCAAUAAGCGGAGGA